This 240-nucleotide unclassified non-coding RNA is filed under the name soil metagenome. RNAcentral describes it as "partial contains 5.8S ribosomal RNA, internal transcribed spacer 2, and large subunit ribosomal RNA". The record is from RNAcentral.
AAGACUAUAGACCUGCGGAGUACCUGCGGAAGGAUCAUUACCAAGAGAAAUCUUUCAACACUGAAAGAUCUUUUCCUUUGUGCUGGCUUUGACCGUAUGUAAUUUUGGGACUUUAAAAUGGUUCGCAAGGGCCGGUCCCAAAAACAAUAUAUCAUCCUUAUGAAAUUUUUUCUGAACAAUUAAACAAAUGAUUUUAAUAAUCUGUUUAAAACAACUUUCAACAAUGGAUCUCUAGAUCGG